CUAAUGGGCCUGGAGUUAGAAUUCUUCUACUUCUCCCAGCUUCAGAGCAGAUGUGACACAGCCCAGGGCAGUGCAACCUUCCCCCCAAAGGUCCCAUGAAUGUUCUUCAACUCUGGCCUGGAGAGACCCGCUCUGGGGAUAAAAGGCGAAUUGAGUCUCCAUGGCCAAUUCACUCCAUGGCCUCC
Unclassified non-coding RNA from Gopherus agassizii (Agassiz's desert tortoise), 185 nucleotides. The record is from Ensembl. Lineage: Eukaryota; Metazoa; Chordata; Testudines; Testudinidae.